Long non-coding RNA from Engraulis encrasicolus (European anchovy), 418 nucleotides. RefSeq lists it as uncharacterized. The transcript is spliced from 3 exons. NCBI's taxonomy places the organism in Eukaryota, Metazoa, Chordata, Actinopteri, Clupeiformes, Engraulidae. The record is from RefSeq and is a predicted model, not a curated record.
CCUCACAUCUCACACAGCUGCAUCUGGAGGGCACUGACGGUUCAUCAUCACUGGAAGUUUCAUCGUCAGCUGGCUGCCAUCCAGACUGCAAACCCAGGAUGUUGAGCCUGAAAAGAUGUGAUCUGACAAACAAUGUCUGCGGUCUGGUCUCUGUUCUGAUCUCACACAAAUCCACACUCUCUGGGGAACGCUUGAGUGAAGAGGAGGUGGAAUGUUUAUGUUCUACUUUUUGUCAUCAGGAGGACUGCAGACUGGAGAAAGUACAGCUGGAUGACUGUUACCUGUCUGAGAAGAGCUGUUUCUAUUUGGCUUCGACCCUAACCUCGCAAUCAUCACAUCUCAAGCACCUGCAUCUGGAUGUCUUUAUUCCCAAGGAUUCUGCUGCUGAGAAGCUAAUUGCUCUGAAAAAUGAUCCACA